GUGUCAGCAGCCGCGGUAAUACGUAGGGGGCGAGCGUUGUCCGGAUUUACUGGGCGUAAAGAGCGCGUAGGCGGUGAGUUUAGUCGUGCGUGAAAUACCUCGGCUCAACCGGGGGGUGUCGUGCGAUACUGGCUCACUCGAGGCUGGUAGGGGGAAGUGGAAUUCCCGGUGUAGUGGUGGAAUGCGUAGAUAUCGGGAGGAACACCAGUGGCGAAGGCGGCUUCCUGGACCAGUCCUGACGCUGAGGCGCGAAAGCGUGGGGAGCGAACUGAAUUAGAUACUCAGGUAGUCCACGCCGUAAACGAUGGAUGCUAGGUGUCGGGGGUAUCGACCCCUCCGGUGCCGCAGCUAACGCAUUAAGCAUCCCGCCUGGGGAGUACGGCCGCAAGGCUAAA
This 395-nucleotide ribosomal RNA is filed under the name uncultured bacterium. RNAcentral's name for it is "bacterial SSU rRNA". It matches the Rfam family "Bacterial small subunit ribosomal RNA", at positions 505 to 898 of the family's 1533-position model. The record is from RNAcentral.